RNAcentral lists this ribosomal RNA (100 nucleotides) under uncultured Bacteroidota bacterium. RNAcentral describes it as "uncultured Bacteroidetes bacterium partial 16S ribosomal RNA". Lineage: Bacteria; Pseudomonadati; Bacteroidota. The record is from RNAcentral.
GAGAUGCCCUAUGGGUUGUAAGCUCUUUUUAUACGGGAAAAAACACAGGUACGUAUACCUUCUUGACGGUACUGUAAGAAUAAAGACCGGCUAACUCCGU